RNAcentral lists this ribosomal RNA (253 nucleotides) under uncultured bacterium. Its description in RNAcentral is "partial 16S ribosomal RNA". It matches the Rfam family "Bacterial small subunit ribosomal RNA", at positions 524 to 776 of the family's 1533-position model. The record is from RNAcentral.
UACGUAGGGGGCUAGCGUUGUCCGGAAUCAUUGGGCGUAAAGCGCGUGUAGGCGGUCCGGUAAGUCCGCUGUGAAAGUCGGGGGCUCAACCCUCGGAUGCCGGUGGAUACUGUCGGGCUUGAGUACGGAAGAGGCGAGUGGAAUUCCUGGUGUAGCGGUGAAAUGCGCAGAUAUCGGGAGGAACACCAAUUGCGAAGGCAGCUCGCUGGGACGUGACUGACGCUGAGACGCGAAAGCGUGGGGAGCAAACAGG